This 1670-nucleotide long non-coding RNA is filed under the name Sparus aurata (gilthead seabream). RNAcentral's name for it is "lncRNA (ENSSAUG00010020400.1)". Lineage: Eukaryota; Metazoa; Chordata; Actinopteri; Spariformes; Sparidae. The record is from RNAcentral.
GUAUAUAGAGCAGACCUGCAGUAUUAGUUUCUCUACAAAACAGGGUAGCUUGUACUUGAAGUGUUGCCACCAUGAGACUUAACUGCUGCCUGACGAUCCUUCACGUGUCCAUCUUAGCGGCGCUCCUUGUCCAUUUGGAAGCUUAUAGUGAAGAUUGUGAAGUUGAAAUCAGAGUGCGCCGCAACACAGUGUAUAAAGCUUCUGUUGGGGAAGAACUGAGGAUUAACUGCACAGUUGUUUUCUGCAACAACUCACCACCAACAGUCUCCUGGUUUAAACCAGGGGAAACUUAUGUCAAUGUUGGCAGUAGCAGCCUCAUCAAAACAGAGUGGAAAAAACUAGACGAUUCACGAGGGAUAUCGUAUUUGGUCUUUAAAAAGAUUCAUAUGAGCGACUCAGGUGAGUAUCAGUGUCGGAGUGGAGGCAGCAUGAGCCACAACAUCAACGUCUCUGUCUCUGGUGAAGUUUGUGAAGAUGAAAUCAGAGUGCGCCGCAACACAGUGUAUAAAGCGUCUGUUGGGGAAGAACUGAGGAUUAACUGCACAGUUGUUUUCUGCAACAACUCACCGCCAACAGUCUCCUGGUUUAAACGAGGGGAAACUGAUGUCCCUGUCAAUGUCAGCAGUGGCAGCCUCAUCGAAACAGAGUGGAAAAAACUAAACGAUUCACAAGGGAUAUCAUAUUUGGUCUUUAAAAAGAUUCUUAAGAGCGACUCAGGUGAGUAUCAGUGUCGGGGUGGAGGCAGCGCGAGCCACAACAUCAACGUCUUUGUCUCUGACCCUGGACCUGCUUUCCCCCACUAUGCGUUACGCAUUGUUGGAAUCGUGGUGUUAGUCAUCGUGGUGAUGAUCAUCUAUGUAGCAUCGAGAGCCGGGUGUAAAGUACGAGGUGUCCACUCUGCAAGAACAUCCAGGGAGGCGCCAGAUCUGAGCCCCCAUCAUAUCUAUGAAAACGAUCCCUGAUACCUUAAAAUCAAUCUGCUAAGUUAAAUGUCAAUAUUAGGGCUCUGACUAAUAUCAAAACAUUUCAUAGUGUUUCAUUUCAAGGUUUUGUAACCUGUAAUAUGUCUCAGAUUUAUUCAUGUUUUCACUUAUUUGUGUGUCGAAUGAGUGUGUCAAUGAUGCGCUGUCAUUAUGUUUGUAAGUUACAUGUUUCAUGACUUUAGAAUAAUUAAAUAUUUUAUACAAUGACGGAACAAUGUCCAUUUAUUCAUAAUCAUACGUGUGCUUGCUGUCAUGAGUCAAGGCGAAUGUGUAUUUCUUGUAAAUCAACCUGUUAUAAUACAGAAGUGAAAUUUCUUAGGUGAGAAACCACCAUUGUUCUUCCAUGGCUGCGUACGUGCGUGUGUGUGUGUGUGUGUGUGGUGUGUGUGGUGUGUGUGUGUGUGUGUCUGCAGAAAGUCACACAUUUACAUGUGAACUUUGUUUUACUUCCUGUACAGAAAACACUCUUUGUGCACACAUCCAUUGCAGAUACUUUUUUGCGUAAUGGCCUGUUGAUUUGUGUUUGUGUGUGAAUGUGCGUGUGUGUGUGUGUGUGUGUGUGUGUGUGUGUGUUUACGUUGACGCGUUCUCGACUGAAACAGCUUCUUUUCUCGGGUUCAGCUUCUUUGGUGCAUUUGGGAGCAGACAGACAGUCGCCUGAUGAACAGACAGGAAGCAGAAUUAAAC